RNAcentral lists this ribosomal RNA (732 nucleotides) under Blochmannia endosymbiont of Camponotus (Colobopsis) sp. 259. Its description in RNAcentral is "bacterial SSU rRNA". It matches the Rfam family "Bacterial small subunit ribosomal RNA", at positions 453 to 1185 of the family's 1533-position model. The record is from RNAcentral. Lineage: Bacteria; Pseudomonadati; Pseudomonadota; Gammaproteobacteria; Enterobacterales; Enterobacteriaceae.
UUAAGAAUAUUGUUANUUGACGUUACCUAUAGAAUAAGCACCGGCUAACUCCGUGCCAGCAGCCGCGGUAAUACGGAGGGUGCGAGCGUUAAUCGGAAUUACUGGGCGUAAAGAGUACGUAGGCGGUUUAUUAAGUCAGAUGUGAAAUACCCGGGCUUAACCUGGGAACUGCAUUUGAAACUGGUAGGCUAGAGUUUUGUAGAGGGGGGUAGAAUUCCAAGUGUAGCGGUGAAAUGCGUAGAGAUUUGGAGGAAUACCAGUGGCGAAGGCGGCCCCCUGGACAAAAACUGACGCUCAGGUACGAAAGCGUGGGGAGCAAACAGGAUUAGAUACCCUGGUAGUCCACGCUGUAAACGAUGUCGAUUUGAAGGUUGUAGUCUUGAACUAUGGCUUUCGUAGCUAACGCGUUAAAUCGACCGCCUGGGGAGUACGGCCGCAAGGUUAAAACUCAAAUGAAUUGACGGGGGCCCGCACAAGCGGUGGAGCAUGUGGUUUAAUUCGAUGCAACGCGAAGAACCUUACCUACUCUUGACAUCCAAAGAACUAUAUAGAGAUAUAUGGGUGCCUUCGGGAACUUUGAGACAGGUGCUGCAUGGCUGUCGUCAGCUCGUGUUGUGAAAUGUUGGGUUAAGUCCCGCAACGAGCGCAACCCUUAUCCUUUGUUGCCAGCGAUUCGGUCGGGAACUCAAAGGAGACUGCCGAUGAUAAAUCGGAGGAAGGUGAGGAUGACGU